GGGAACAAAGAGUACCAUGCUCACAACUGGAAAACAUGAGUUCAAUAAUAUUUCAACUAAAUUUAUCGCCUGCGAGCGUUCAAAACUCAUUUUCAACGCAAAAAACUAUAAAAUAAUGCUUCCUGACUUGUUCCACCCCAACCAUGCUAGCACUUUGAGACGAUCAUCAGAAAAGCUUUAGAAGAUCUCUAUGCAGAAGAUUUCACAGUAGCAGCUUUGAUGAUGUCCACAAACUCCGGC
Molecule: unclassified non-coding RNA, 240 nt
Filed under: Hevea brasiliensis (rubber tree)
Lineage: Eukaryota; Viridiplantae; Streptophyta; Magnoliopsida; Malpighiales; Euphorbiaceae
Source: RNAcentral